RNAcentral lists this long non-coding RNA (2616 nucleotides) under Daphnia magna. Its description in RNAcentral is "uncharacterized LOC123470775". The record is from RNAcentral. Lineage: Eukaryota; Metazoa; Arthropoda; Branchiopoda; Diplostraca; Daphniidae.
CUUUUUUUUUUUAGAGGAAAAAGGUAAGAAAAACAAGAAUCCGACCAACCGCCAUGUGUACGAAAACACCUUUUCCUUUGCAAAAACCUUUUUACCUACCUAUAACCUUCGAAAUAUGUCUGGAAACGUCUUCCCCAAAGGGAUAACAACUGCAUCUAAACGUUAAUGCAUUCUCGUGGGGAAAGAAGAAAACAUGGCGAAAAGGUUUUCUCCCAAAAAGAAAGAAAAAAAAAAAUCAAUGGUAGCCUUGCAAACGUAUGGCAUUCUUAAUUCCAUUCUAUUUGGCAUUUAAUCCCCUGAAGAAUGCGUGUGUACUCGAAUGGCGACUGUCGUUUCCAAACCAGGUAAUGGCGUCCACGACUUUUGAGGCGGGGUUCGGGCCCACGUGUUUCUGCUCCAAUCAAACAAAGAAAUCAAGUUGUAAAAAAAGAAAAAGACGUUGCAAUUUCGUGUAUUGUCUUGAGGAUGUCGUCUAGAAAUCGAACAACACGAAAAAGAAAAGAGAAUGUUGAACAUUCACGACUUUUUUUUGUCAGUUUCCAGUCAGCAACAAUUGGUUCCACGAUCUGCGGGGGAAAGAAAGAGAGAAGCCAUACCGGGACAAGAAACAUACACGCCGGUGAUGUCAACAAGUAGCCAAUGACUCAUUGACUUCUUUCUUUGCCAACGUCAUAUUAUUAUUAAUUUCAACAGGUGGCUUCUUGUUUCUUCCUCCCACAAAGACAAAAAUAAAACGCAGAUACGUUUUAAUGCAAUGGAAAUAACAUUCUUCUUGAAAGCUAUAUAGCUAUAUACUAGUGUAACAGUUUCAUGAACAUUUCUCAACCGUGAAAAAGUCAAGAAAACAAAUGUAGGUUAACGAGGUGCCAUGUAACGGAAAAGAGUAAACUGAAGAUUAUCAUCUGUUCGAGGAGGAAGAAGAAAAAAAUAGUUGCCUUGUUUGCUCGGGCCAUUGACUUUAGGUCGAUAUAUAUUUGCGGACGAGGAAAUGCGAGAAAAUUAUUUUGUGUGAUUUCAACCAAUUGGCGAGUCAUCGUCAAGUAUGACACAAAAUAGCCACUUUUCGGUUAGCUCGAGGGCAUCGUUGGAUUCGAAACAAAAGGAUGCCUGGUAAAAAGUGAAAAGCUACACACGCUAAGCGAAGGCGGUCAAGACAGACCGCCAGCAGCACUGUGUUUUUGCCAGUGAGUGGUCGGAGCCAUUUUGUUUUGUUGGUCGGUUGGGAUAUUUCAGCCCGUCACUCGAUACUUCAUGGCUAGACUUCCGUCUGUGCCCCGUACAUCGUUAAGUGUAGUCUCUCUCUAGCUUUAUUGCAUAGCCCUAUGACGAAAAAAACUCGUUUCUUUUCAUGUUUUAGGAAACACUGCGAUCCUUUUUUAAUUUACGAUUCAAGUCUGCACACAGCGGCCAUUGAAGUCUGCUGCUCUUCCUAGAUAUCCACUUAUGAAACAAAAUUGAACUGUGACGUUUCUCGUAAACACAAUUGAAGUAAGCAGCUUUAAAAAAAAGUCGCAUGAACAAUGUGUUCUGCAUUAUUGCAAUUUUGAACAAUUGUCGGAAGACGGCAAUUGCGUGUGCAGAUGACACUAAAAGAUGGGGCAGUACCUGUUUAUUACUAGCUCAUCAUAUAGCUAUCACGCUCGGUUCGUUCACUUAAUAGGGCUUAUGUCGUCGUUCAACUCUCAAAGUCGUGUCAGAAAUUUAAAAAAAGAAUUAGAAAAUAUACGUUUACCGAAAACUUGUUUUCUAAAUGAGAAAAAAGAGAAUUGAUUGCAUUGAAAUCCUCCCUUCCAACCAAAAAAAAAACCGACCCCUUUCACACACGGCGGUGUUAUCAACCCGUUCCACUCGACUUAUUCCAUAGAAAAAAAAAAGAGCAGCUCUUUCAUAAUUCAUUUCUAGAAUCUCCCCCCCCCCUUUUUUUUUCAUUUGCUGUGACGACUCUGAAAAAAAAAAAGUUUAAGAAACCUCGUUCCGCUUUGCAGAAUACAUUCAUGUCCCCGACUACUGAAAGAGGGGAGAAAACAAGUAAUUCUUCGCUUUACACCUGAAAAACAACGCAAACACAGUGCCAACAAGUUUUCCCCUCGCUGCCAUAAUAUCCCUGCGGAGUUUGCGUGCUGGAUUUACACAAAAAUAAAACCGGCGUACUGCAUGACAAUAAGGCAAGGUCAAUGGCGGAUUCCCCAGCUUUUGCAUACCGCGUAAUAUGCUUGAAAAUAAAAAAAACAAAAGAGAGAAACUAUAAUACAUUUUUAUUUGUUCAACGGAAUGUUGUGGCACUAAUGCUUUUGCGCGAAAUUGGGAUUAAUAAAAAAAAAAAGAAGAGAAAAACAAGACACAAUCCCUGACAUAUUCAUAUCCAGCCAAUGGGAAUUAAUUACUAGCUGGAUAUGAGGGGGGGGAGGGGAACCAGUAUCGAUAUGUGAUGGAAUGUGUAUGCAUCCUAUACUAAACGUACCUGAAUGUUGUUGUCUCUUGAGGUACACAUUUUUACAUUACUGCUAGGCAGUCGUGGCUCACAACUUGAACGUUAAAAACACAAAGGUGUUCCUGUUUUGUCAAUUAAAAGGUAAAAAACAAAGUGGAGGGAUUGAGUUGCAAAGUGAAGAUCAA